GAUGAAGAACGUAGCGAAAUGCGAUAAGUAAUGUGAAUUGCAGAAUUCAGUGAAUCGUCGAAUCUUUGAACGCACAUUGCGCCCGCCAGUAUUCUGGCGGGCAUGCCUGUUCGAGCGUCAUUUCAACCCUCAGGUCCCCCUUUUCGGAGGGGGAGACACCCUGGUGUUGGGGGACGGCAUCCUGGCCCGCUGUCUCACAGUGUGCCACGCCGCCCCCGAAAUGAAUUGGCGGCCUCGUCGCGUGCCACCCCUGCGUAGUAGCACAACCUCGAAACGGGAGCCCGACGCGGCCACUGCCGUAAAACGCCCAACUUUUACCGAGUUGACCUCGAAUCAGGUAGGAAUACCCGCUGAACUUAAGCAUAUCAAUAAGCGGAGGA
RNAcentral lists this unclassified non-coding RNA (380 nucleotides) under soil metagenome. RNAcentral's name for it is "partial contains 5.8S ribosomal RNA, internal transcribed spacer 2, and large subunit ribosomal RNA". The stretch from base 1 to 120 matches the Rfam family "5.8S ribosomal RNA", at positions 35 to 154 of the family's 154-position model. The record is from RNAcentral.